This 5020-nucleotide long non-coding RNA is filed under the name Homo sapiens (human). RNAcentral's name for it is "HSALNT0083673". Lineage: Eukaryota; Metazoa; Chordata; Mammalia; Primates; Hominidae. The record is from RNAcentral.
CUCCGAGCCAGGUGCGGGAUGUAAUCUCGUGGUGCGCCGUUUUUUAAGCCCGUCGGAAAAGCGCAGUAUUCGGGUGGGAGUGACCCGAUUUUCCAGGUGCCGUCUGUCACCCCUUUCUUUGACUUGGAAAGGGAACUCCCUGACCCCUCGCGCUUCCCAGGUGAGGCAAUGCCUCGCCCUGCUUCGGCUCGUCCACGAUGCGCGCACCCACUGGCCUGCGCCCACUGUCUGGCACUCCCUAGUGAGAGAAACCCGGUACCUCAGAUGGAAAUGCAGAAAUCACCCGUCUUCUGCGUCGCUCACGCUGGGAGCUGUAGACCGGAGCUGUUCCUAUUCGGCCAUCUUGGCUCUCCCUUAGUCUAGAUUGCAGCUAAUCUUCCCCUUACAUGACACCUACAAGUUAAACAAACUGCAACUAGGAAGAUCGUGAUCAUUUGACUAGGACCUGGAUUGUUUGAGAGAGGCAGUCUAAAAGUAAGUUUUUACUAAUUAUUUUUGAACCUUGUAAUGGCAUUUUAAGCAACUGCUUUCACCUACAAUAAUAGUUACUUAUUUUACUUUUCCUGAAUAAGCCAGGCUCUUUCCUAAGUUUAUUAAAUGUAUUGUCUACUCUACCCCUUAUACCACAGACUCACAAUGUAGAUACUAUCAUGAUUAUAAUAAUCAUACUAUUAAUAAAAAUUAAUAUUACUUUAUUUGUAUUAUGGCUACUAUUGUUCUAUUGACAAAAAGAGAAGAGAGGUUAAGUAACGCGCAUAGAGAGAUAAGUACCAGGUCCCCAAAUAAACCUCAACCAUGUGGUUAAAGCCUAUUAAUAGCCUGACCACAAGCCCUCUGAGGUGGGAGCCUGGACACUUAAUAUCCUAUUAAUCCCUACUGUGCUGUGGGCUAGAGCCUAUGUGUCCCUUCAAGGAGCACAGGGAUGUUAAGUGUGGGUCUGUAGCUCUGGGGAGCUGUUUUCCUUUUAGGAAUACUCCUUGCUAGUUUUCAAAUAAUUCUUUAGCACUGAAGUUGGGACCCCUGAGACAUUUUUUUAUGUUCUAAAGACCACUCUGUUAGUUAAGUAAACCUGACUACAACCUUGAACAAAUUUAUAAUCUAUUGAAAUGUUACAGUAAAAGAAAUGCGAAGGUAAAGCAAAAAUUCUAAUUAUUUCAAAGGUAAUUGCAAACUAUCUAGCUGCCCUGAGAGUCUCCCCAAAGUCCCGGCAUUGCUUGGCACUACCACACCCUGUUUUCUGGAGGAUUUUUAGUUCAAACACGUACCUAAAUUUGACCAGAUAUCUAAAUUCCCAUUUGGAGACACAUCAUGGCAUGUAGGAUACUUUCCUACUUUUUCGCUAAAAAAGGUUUUCGAUCGAAAGUUGAAUGCUGUGGAUGUUGAAGUCCCAUGCGUCUGAGGUCCCAAGUCUCAGAAGCCUUUCCUCAUGCUGUUUCCAUACGUGUUUUCAGUUCUUGGAAUGAAAUUCUCAGAUUAGAACGCAUCAGACCUCUCUUAGUUCUCAUGGAGUAUGUAGAGGCCAUGAUGAACUGAAGAUUUCUCUCUGGUGUGGAUAUGUUUUCUCUUUUACCUCUGAACUUCUACAUCAAGACUUCGUGUGAAUGAGCUCUGCUUUUGAGGAUUCAUGACUCUUUUCCUCCAUGAUUUGAAAAUGUAUAUUCAAAAGAUUAAAAGAUGGAGCUGGCCGAGUGAGGUGGCUCAUGCCUGUAAUCCCAGCACUGUGGGAGGCCGAAGCAGGUGGAUCACUUGAGGUCAGCAGUUCAAGACCACCCUGGCCAACAUGGUGAAACCCUGCCUCUACUAAAAAUACAGAAAUUAGCCAAGUGCAAUGGCAGGCACCUGUAAUCCCAGCUACUCGGGAAGCUGAGGAUGGAGAAUCACUUGAACCCUGGAGGCAGAGGUUGCAGUGAACUGAGAUCACACCACAGCACUCCAGUCUGGGUGACUCAGUCUUGAAAAAUGAAAUGAAAUAAAAUAAAAUAAAAGAUAGAGCUGGAGUUUUGCUGGUUACUAUUAUUUAAUCAGAGGACAUAUCACCCUCCUCACAAAGGUGAGAAUCACACAGUCCCAGGAGGUUGUUUGGGCACCAGCUACAGGCCCACAGUCACCGUCAGCAAAAUCAAAUGUGUGUGUUACACACAGACGUCUCAUCUCCAUGGGCUUAUAGACACCAGGCUAGGCAACUAAAAGGGAAAAGUAUUUUUUAUUUUUAUUUUGUUUCUUCCAAGUUAAAGCAUGCUUUUCCUGUUUAUAAAACUUCUGUUUUUGGAAACACUUCUCACUGUACUUUACCAUGAGCAAGGUAAGAUAAGUUUUAUAAGUAGGAAAGCAUGCUUUUAUUUUUGUUUUUAUUUUAUACAAGUAAAGAAGAAAAUAAAAGCAAAACAAAAAUUUAUCUCUCUCAAGUGUCUACUCUCAAUGUUUUGUGCUUGCCACACCCCAUAGUCUAUACACAUACAUACUUACAAAGAGGAUUGUUCACCUGUGGGCUUGUUUAACAUACAUUUAUUUUAUAAUGUAUCAUAUAUAUCUUUUCAUAAUUUUUAAAAAAUUAUCUCUUCACUAUAAUGACUACAUAUGUUUGCAUUCUGGGGUGUUAAUUUAAUUUAAUUAGCAAAUCAUUUAUCAAUGCAUAUUUACUGUGACUAUGAUUGUUUAUAUUUUAACUAAUGUUGUGAUGACAUUCUUGUGUAUAUUUUGUUGCAAUACAUUUCCCAAAGGACAAUUUUUCAGCCUUAGGUUUUUCACAUUUCAUAUCUCUGAGACUGUGCUCCAUAAAGCUAUAUGGAUUUGGAUCCCCGUUAGAGACGUGUCUACACUCAUUUCUGAUAAAUGCACACAGGUAUCUCCAGGACUUAUGCCCUGCCCAGAAUACACUGGUUUUCUAUAAAUACUGUUGAAUGAAUAAAUGUAUCUUUAACAUUACCAUGGUGUUUUUUAACCUCUGUCAACAUGAGAAGCAAAACCUACCUCCUUGUUUUAAUUUACAUUUGUUUAAUUGCCUGUGAGGCCCAACAUCUUUUCAUAAAUGCCUGGCUAAUUUGUGUAUUUAUUUUUCCUCUUGUGAACUGCCUACUCAUUUUCUUUUGAUGUUAUUGAUGUGUAGGAUUCUCCUUGUUGACUUGUAAGAAUAAUUUAGAAACUAGUGAGUAAAUCUUUGUUUUGUGUGUCAAUUUUUUUUCAAUUAUUUGCUUGUCUUUUAUUGUUUGGUUGCUUUUACCUUAGGUAAAAAGGUAAGUGUUAUGUCUUUCUCCAGGUUUAAUUUAUUUAUUUUUUUGGAGGAGGGAUAUUCUGGGUCUUUACUACAUAACCCACCUCUACUCCAAAAGCAUAAUUUUUCACUAUUUUUAUAAACAUUAAUAUAUGUCCCAAACAUAAUUUUUGUCCUCAUUUUUUUAGAACACAGAACAACACACAGUUUUAGAACAUAAAGCAUAAAAUUUUUGAGUGUAUUAGUCUGUUCUCAUGCUGCUUAUAAAGACAUACCCAAGACUGGGUAAUUUAUAAAGAAAAGAGGUUUAAUGGACUCACAGUUCCACAUGGCUGGGGGAGCCUCACAAUCAUGGCAGAAGACGAAUGCGGAGCAGAGUCACAUCUUACAUGGCUGCAGGCAAUAGAGAUUGUGUAGGGGAACUGCCCUUUAUAAAACCAUCAGAUCUCGUGAGACUUAUUCACUAUCAAGAGAACAGCAGGGAAAAGACCUGCCCCAUGAUUCAAUUACCUCCCACUGGGUCCCUCCCACAACAUGUGGGGAUUAUGGGAGCUACAAUUCAAGAUGAAGUUUUGGGGGGGACACAGCCAGACCACAUCAAAGGGUCUUCAUUUGAAUUGUUUUCCACAUGAGGAUGAGAAGAUUUCUAUUUUUUUAAUUUAAAUACUAGUCAGCUGAGUAUUUUUUACUCAGUAUCAUUUACUGAAAACCUAACUUUUCCCCAGAGUUGAAAGGACAUCUCUGUUAAAUAUGAGAUUUGCAUAUAAAACUGGAUAAAGCUUAAACUCUGAAUUCUCUUCUUCUUAUCCCCCCAUCUAUUGCUAGGCCUGUAACAUACCCUACCAUUUGAAUUAUUUACCUUUCAAGUGCAUUUUAUGUUUUCUUAAUUUAUAUGGUCCUCUUUAUGCUUCCUUGCAUAAUUCCCACUCCCAUUUUUGUAUAUUUAUUUUCUGGAUAAGCUUUAGAAUAAUUGCUGUUGUGUUUUAAAAUAUUGGUGGAACUUUAUUAAGAUGCUAUUGAAUAUAUGAAUUAAAUUGGGAAGACUUGUCAUCUUAAUGAAAUAGAAUCUUCCCAUCUAAGAAGCAGGUAUGAUUUUCAAUAUUUCAUCAUAUGUUUAUACAUACAACAUGGCUUUUAAAUUUCAUUUCAGGAAAGUAUAGAAAUAUGGGCUGACUUGCUAUCAUUUUUUUUUUUUUUGAGAUGGAGUUUCAUUCUUGUUGCCCAAGCUGGAGUGUAAUGGCGUGAUCUUGGCUCACUGCAACCUCGGCCUCCCAGGUUCAAGCAAUUCUCCUGCUUCAGCCUUCUGAGUAGCUAGGAUUACAGGCAUGCGCCACCACAGAUGACUAAUUUUGUAUUUUUAGUAGAGACAGGGUUUCUCCAUGUUGGUCAGGCUGGUCUCGAACUCCCAACCUCAGGUGAUCCACCCGCCUUGGCCUCCCAAAAUGCUGGGAUUAUAGCCAUGAGCCACCGCGCCCGGCCCAAGAGUUGCUAUCUUAAUGAAAUAUAACCUUCCCAUCUAAGAAGCAGAGUUUUGCUCGGUCACUCACGGCAACCUCCGCCUCCUGGGUUCAAGCAGUUCUCCUGCCUCAGUCUCCCGAGUAGCUGGGACUCUACAGGCAUCCCCCAUCAGGGCUUGAAAACAGAAAUCCUGCCAAGUCCCACGUUUUCUUCGGUUCCAAGCACAGAGAGACAUUUGUCUAUUGCAGAAACAGAAGCGAUGCUUAUCCUGCGAGGUGUAUGUGUUAAUGUUGCCACUUUUAGUAAAAUCCAAAUCAUCUAUGCUUCAAGAAGAAUUUGGAAAGCAGAGAG